Molecule: ribosomal RNA, 560 nt
Filed under: Scheffersomyces shehatae
Lineage: Eukaryota; Fungi; Ascomycota; Pichiomycetes; Serinales; Debaryomycetaceae
Description: eukaryotic LSU rRNA
Rfam family: Eukaryotic large subunit ribosomal RNA
Source: RNAcentral
ACAACAAACAAGUUUGACCUCAAAUCAGGUAGGAUUACCCGCUGAACUUAAGCAUAUCAAUAAGCGGAGGAAAAGAAACCAACAGGGAUUGUCUUAGUAACGGCGAGUGAAGCGACAAAAGCUCAAAUUUGAAAUCUGGCACCUUCGGUGUCCGAGUUGUAAUUUGAAGAAGGUAACUUUGGAGUUGGCUCUUGUCUAUGUUCCUUGGAACAGGACGUCACAGAGGGUGAGAAUCCCGUGCGAUGAGAUGUCCAACUCUAUGUAAAGUGCUUUCGAAGAGUCGAGUUGUUUGGGAAUGCAGCUCUAAGUGGGUGGUAAAUUCCAUCUAAAGCUAAAUAUUGGCGAGAGACCGAUAGCGAACAAGUACAGUGAUGGAAAGAUGAAAAGAACUUUGAAAAGAGAGUGAAAAAGUACGUGAAAUUGUUGAAAGGGAAGGGUUUGAGAUCAGACUUGGUAUUUUGUAUGUCUUGCUUUCGGGUGGGGCCUCUGCAGUUUACUGGGCCAGCAUCGGUUUGGACGGUAGGAUAAUGACAUUGGAAUGUGGCACUACUUCGGUGGUG